UACGGGAGGCAGCAGUGAGGAAUAUUGGUCAAUGGAGGCAACUCUGAACCAGCCAUGCCGCGUGCAGGAUGACUGCCCUAUGGGUUGUAAACUGCUUUUAUACAGGAAGAAACAUUCCCUCGUGAGGGAACUUGACGGUACUGUAAGAAUAAGGACCGGCUAACUCCGUGCCAGCAGCCGCGGUAAU
This 187-nucleotide ribosomal RNA is filed under the name uncultured bacterium. Its description in RNAcentral is "partial 16S ribosomal RNA". It matches the Rfam family "Bacterial small subunit ribosomal RNA", at positions 340 to 524 of the family's 1533-position model. The record is from RNAcentral.